Molecule: transfer RNA, 73 nt
Filed under: Nelumbo nucifera (sacred lotus)
Lineage: Eukaryota; Viridiplantae; Streptophyta; Magnoliopsida; Proteales; Nelumbonaceae
Rfam family: tRNA
About the family: Transfer RNA (tRNA) molecules are approximately 80 nucleotides in length. Their secondary structure includes four short double-helical elements and three loops (D, anti-codon, and T loops).
Source: Rfam by way of RNAcentral
GGGGAUGUAGCUAAAACGCUAAAGUGCUCGCUUAUCUUGCUAGAGGAGCGGGGUUCGAUACCCCGCAUCUCCA